CUCAGCCGCCGCCACCGGAACCGUCGCCUUCUCCAUCUCCGGGGAAAGAGGGAGGGCGCGGACGGGGGAGGGGCGUGGGGGCUACGCUCUACCGCGACUUCGGCCGCACCGGGGCCGACACAGCGCUCGGUGCCGCCUCCGCCGCCACCGCCUCGGUCACCUCUACUGCCGCCGCCGCCGCCGCCGCUCCGCCAGCUCUCACCUCGUCUCGCGAUACUAAGGGCGGGGAGCCUGACGAUGGGAGGGAGGGAGAGGGAGGGAGCGUGAGGGAGCAAGAGGGGGGUGGGGGAAGCGAAGAGGGAGACCCGGGUGGCCGGAGAUCCAGCAGAGGGGAGACUACCGAGAGUCGGGGGAAGUGUGCCUAGGGCGACUUCCGAUGGGGGGGACGGCGGGGACAGAGGAGGGCCGCGGUGAUUGCCGUAGCGCCCGCUAGUACCCGGAUCGCUUCUCUUUCCUCGCUAUUUCCCCCACACACAACCCUUCAGACCUCCCUUCUUCCUUCCUCGCUGGUGUAUAGAACGCAGCCGCAGGCGGAAGUACAAGUGACGCCAUCAGCCGUCGCCUGAGUGGUGGCGCGCGGGUGGCCGAAAGACGAAAGUGAGACUUAGAGGGCCGGGUCUCCGGCCUUCGCGAGCGGGCGGUGCUGCGGUGCAUGGGGCGGGCGGCUGAGCGGGCGGACUGGAGCGGAGCAGCCCGGGCCGGGUGGGAGCGGGUACGGAAGCUCGGGCCAGACGCUUUGUUAGCAGGAGGCCCGGACANNNNNNNNNNNNNNNNNNNNNNNNNNNNNNNNNNNNNNNNNNNNNNNNNNNNNNNNNNNNNNNNNNNNNNNNNNNNNNNNNNNNNNNNNNNNNNNNNNNUACGGAAGCUCGGGCCAGACGCUUUGUUAGCAGGAGGCCCGGACAGCCUGAUCCGGGAGGUGGGGCCUGGUUCUGGACUGCCGUACGUAGUUUCGUUCCUGGCCAUUUUUUCCACCGCCAAAUGGCUUAAUGAAGUCGCUUCCAUCCUCACUCUUUCUCCAUCAACCUGAAGCUAGUGAGUAUGUUGAAGAUGCCAGAGCCAGAGAAAGAUCAUGGGUGGCUAAAUUACUAUUUGGAAUACAGAUACUUCCAAAUUAGAAACACUCCUUUUUUGGACUUCUUGUACAAGAGAAAAUUGAGAUUUGAGAAUUUAUAUGUUCCAGAGCUUGAAUGAUCGUGACUAACCCAGAAAUUGGUAUUGGAAGUGGAGUACUGCUAAAACAGUAACCUAAAAUAUGUUACAUUGCCUUGGUGAUGAUGCAGCAGAUGUUAGAGAUACUGGCAUCAGAGAAUGGAAGGAGACCCAUGUUUUGCAGUGGCAAAAGCGGUGUUUAAACUUAUCCAUGAUAAUUGAAAAGCAUGUUAUCUACCUAUUGAAAUUGUGACCCAGUAAUCAGAGGAAAUAGUUGAAAAGAGUCAAAGUAAUACUGUAUUUUGAGUUUUAGUAAGAUAAGCUCAGAAAACAGUUACAGAAAUGAACAUGCACAAAAGUAUUUGGAAAGAUUAGAAAAACAGUUUUUCUAGAUCUUGAAGAGUAAAAUAUGAAGCUAGAAGAGGCCUUGAGUACAGUCCUGUCAAGAUUUAGUCCUGGAACAAAGAUCAGAUCAAGACUUUGGCCUUUCCAUCCAAGACCAUUAUUUUAGAUGGUCUCAGGAUAACUGGGAUGAUGUUCUUGCAAAACUGACACGGGAGCAAGAAAAUGGAAGUAAAUCAUUUUUGAGAAUUACAUAAGCAAGAACUUUGGGUGUAGUUACUGGAAGCAAAUAGAUGACAGGACUAAACUUUUGAAGGAAUUUUACCACUAAUCAAAUCAUGAACCCAAUUCAUAUUUAUUCGCUCGAGGCAACUGUUCAACCCCAAAUUUGCAUAAGAAGAAAAUAGGACAUAAAUGCCUUAUAGCUCCCCAGUACUCACAUAGGAUGUGGCCAUGGAGAAUAAUGGACAAAGAACAUUUCAGAGGCCCAUAUCAGGCCAUAUAGAAGACAGAGGGCACAUGUUUCUCUCCGAAACUAAGUUGAGAUCUCAUCAAAAUUUCCUCCACUCUCAGGGGAGAUGGAUCAGAAAACGGCUGCUCGAUAUUUCAUCCUUUUUAUGUGUCUGUAUUGCCUAGUGUCUCACAGUUUUCUCUUUUUCCAGUGAGAGCUUAUUCUGGUUACCAGAAUUGGUAACUUUCUGGUCUACCACUGUACAUUUUGGUCCACGGUUUGUUGUGAUCAGACAACUGUGUAGAUCACAACAAACUGUGGAAAACUUAAAGAGAUGGAAAUACUAGACCACCUAACUUGAUUCCUGAGAAACCUAUAUGCAGGUCAAGAAGCAACAGUUACAAUGGGACACAGAACAAUGGACUGUUUGAAAAUUGGGAAAGAAGUAGGUUAAGGCUGUAUAUCGUCAUCCUGUUUAUUUAACUUAUAUGCGGAGUACAUGAUGUGAAAUGCUGGACUGGAUGAAUCACAAUUGGAAUCAAGAUUGCCAGGAGAAA
Molecule: long non-coding RNA, 2499 nt
Filed under: Capra hircus (goat)
Lineage: Eukaryota; Metazoa; Chordata; Mammalia; Artiodactyla; Bovidae
Description: lncRNA (ENSCHIG00010029455.1)
Source: RNAcentral